UUGAAUAUCUCAUGUAUCUCUAAAAACACUUAUAAACACUUUAUAUGGUUAAAUGGGAAUGUUGUCAUGAUCCUUUGAGUUGAACUAUUUUGCCUUACAAUAAGUUAUCAACACUUUGUUUAAAGUCAUAAGCAUUAUACUCGACGUUUAUUACUCGAGGUGUAACAAAAUCGAAUAGUUCAAGAUCAUUCGGUUGUAAGUAACGACUGGAUUAACGGAACUCGUGGAAAGUUAUAAGGUCAUCUGUUAUACCCACAACUAACCACUAUAGUGGUGGGUGCCACAUCAUCACCACUAGCUACCACUAAAAGCGGCGAAGACUUGCUCGGGACAAAAGGAGAGCAUACGAGGAGAUGGAAGCAGGAAACGAGAGCUAAAACUAAAGAAGAAAAUAAGAUGACUGAAGACCACGUCGUGGUGAUAUAACCACGACAUGGUGAUUGGAAUAUUAGCACCCAUAUGCUGACUUGGCAGACACAUAAUUUACUUGAAGACCAUGUUGUGGUGGCGAUCAACCGCGACGUUGUGGCCAGAUUUCCACAAUUAUAAAAUGCCAGGCAUUAGGUCGAAAUCAAGGGAUGCAUUCGGUUUUCAGAGGUUAAUUGUGAUUAAUAACCCUUAGAAACCUAGAAGAAAGUCGAAAUUCAAGUGAAGCUCAAGAUUGAAGAAGAUUUAGAAGGAAUUCAACAUUGAUCUAGUUGGUUUGCUUAUUAAACUUAUGUGUAGCUUAUUUUACUUAUAUUUAAUAUGUUUUUCUGCUACAAUGAGAGGUUAAA
Lactuca sativa (garden lettuce) is the source of this 776-nucleotide long non-coding RNA. RefSeq lists it as uncharacterized. Lineage: Eukaryota; Viridiplantae; Streptophyta; Magnoliopsida; Asterales; Asteraceae. The record is from RefSeq and is a predicted model, not a curated record.